This 357-nucleotide ribosomal RNA is filed under the name Listeria monocytogenes. Its description in RNAcentral is "partial 23S ribosomal RNA". It matches the Rfam family "Bacterial large subunit ribosomal RNA", at positions 560 to 917 of the family's 2925-position model. The record is from RNAcentral. Lineage: Bacteria; Bacillati; Bacillota; Bacilli; Caryophanales; Listeriaceae.
GUGCCUACAAGUAGUUAGAGCCCGUUAAUGGGUGAUAGCGUGCCUUUUGUAGAAUGAACCGGCGAGUUACGAUUUGUUGCAAGGUUAAGCGGAAAAAGCGGAGCCGUAGCGAAAGCGAGUCUGAAUAGGGCGCAUAAGUAACAGGUCGUAGACCCGAAACCAGGUGAUCUACCCAUGUCCAGGAUGAAGGUAAGGUAAUACUUACUGGAGGUCCGAACCCACGCACGUUGAAAAGUGCGGGGAUGAGGUGUGGGUAGCGGAGAAAUUCCAAUCGAACUUGGAGAUAGCUGGUUCUCUCCGAAAUAGCUUUAGGGCUAGCCUCGAGGUAAAGAGUCAUGGAGGUAGAGCACUGUUUGG